GAGUAAUGCCUAGGAAUCUGCCUGGUAGUGGGGGACAACGUUUCGAAAGGAACGCUAAUACCGCAUACGUCCUACGGGAGAAAGCAGGGGACCUUCGGGCCUUGCGCUAUCAGAUGAGCCUAGGUCGGAUUAGCUAGUUGGUGAGGUAAUGGCUCACCAAGGCUACGAUCCGUAACUGGUCUGAGAGGAUGAUCAGUCACACUGGAACUGAGACACGGUCCAGACUCCUACGGGAGGCAGCAGUGGGGAAUAUUGGACAAUGGGCGAAAGCCUGAUCCAGCCAUGCCGCGUGUGUGAAGAAGGUCUUCGGAUUGUAAAGCACUUUAAGUUGGGAGGAAGGGCAUUAACCUAAUACGUUAGUGUUUUGACGUUACCGACAGAAUAAGCACCGGCUAACUCUGUGCCAGCAGCCGCGG
RNAcentral lists this ribosomal RNA (416 nucleotides) under Pseudomonas sp. RNAcentral describes it as "bacterial SSU rRNA". It matches the Rfam family "Bacterial small subunit ribosomal RNA", at positions 108 to 520 of the family's 1533-position model. The record is from RNAcentral. Lineage: Bacteria; Pseudomonadati; Pseudomonadota; Gammaproteobacteria; Pseudomonadales; Pseudomonadaceae.